Molecule: ribosomal RNA, 496 nt
Filed under: uncultured bacterium
Lineage: Bacteria
Description: partial 16S ribosomal RNA
Rfam family: Bacterial small subunit ribosomal RNA
Source: RNAcentral
AAUGAACGCUGGCGGCGUGCCUAACACAUGCAAGUCGAGCGAGAAAGCUCCUUCGGGAGUAAGUACAGCGGCGGACGGGUGAGAAACGCGUGAGAAUUUACCCUUUAGUGAAGAAUACCUCUGAGAAAUCGGAGUUAAUACUGCAUACGUCUCUUCGAAGAGAAAGGUGGCCUCUUGCUGCCGCUAAAGGAUGAGCUUGCGUACUAUUAGCUAGUUGGUGGGGUAAAGGCCUACCAAGGCGAUGAUGGUUAGCCGGCCUGAGAGGGUGUACGGCCACACUGGAACUUAGACACGGUCCAGACUCCUACGGGAGGCAGCAGUGGGGAAUAUUGCGCAAUGGGCGAAAGCCUGACGCAGCGACGCCGCGUGGAGGAUGAAGGUCUUCGGAUUGUAAACUUCUGUUAAGUGGGAAGAAAUACUUAUCAUUAAUACCGGUAGGGGAUGACUGUACCAUUAGAGAAAGCACCGGCUAACUUCGUGCCAGCAGCCGCAGUAA